RNAcentral lists this transfer RNA (88 nucleotides) under Burkholderia territorii. Its description in RNAcentral is "tRNA-Ser". It matches the Rfam family "tRNA". From Rfam's summary of the family: Transfer RNA (tRNA) molecules are approximately 80 nucleotides in length. Their secondary structure includes four short double-helical elements and three loops (D, anti-codon, and T loops). The record is from RNAcentral. Lineage: Bacteria; Pseudomonadati; Pseudomonadota; Betaproteobacteria; Burkholderiales; Burkholderiaceae.
GGAAGGUUCGCAUAGUGGCUAUUGCAGCGGCUUGCUAAGCCGUCGUUCCGAAAGGGGCGCAUGGGUUCGAGUCCCAUACCUUCCGCCA